RNAcentral lists this ribosomal RNA (484 nucleotides) under uncultured bacterium. RNAcentral describes it as "partial 16S ribosomal RNA". It matches the Rfam family "Bacterial small subunit ribosomal RNA", at positions 30 to 507 of the family's 1533-position model. The record is from RNAcentral.
AUUGAACGCUGGCGGCAGGCCUAACACAUGCAAGUCGAGCGGAUGAAGGGAGCUUGCUCCUGGAUUCAGCGGCGGACGGGUGAGUAAUGCCUAGGAAUCUGCCUGGUAGUGGAGGAUAACGUCCGGAAACGGGCGCUAAUACCGCAUACGUCCUGAGGGAGAAAGUGGGGGAUCUUCGGACCUCACGCUAUCAGAUGAGCCUAGGUCGGAUUAGCUAGUUGGUGGGGUAAAGGCCUACCAAGGCGACGAUCCGUAACUGGUCUGAGAGGAUGAUCAGUCACACUGGAACUGAGACACGGUCCAGACUCCUACGGGAGGCAGCAGUGGGGAAUAUUGGACAAUGGGCGAAAGCCUGAUCCAGCCAUGCCGCGUGUGUGAAGAAGGUCUUCGGAUUGUAGAGCACUUUAAGUUGGGAGGAAGGGCAGUAAGUUAAUACCUUGCUGUUUUGACGUUACCAACAGAAUAAGCACCGGCUAACUUCGUG